AUUACCUAUAACAUUUAUAGAGUUAUUAAAACAACAUCUUCUGACAUAACUUUUUGUUUAAAGGCACAUUCAAAAGAUCAGUUAAAGGCUAAUUGAUUAAUUAUUUGGUUUGCCUUGUGUGUAUAUACACCACUGUCAAGCCAAUGGGACAUGUGCUAUCCUGCAAGGACUGCUAGCAGAGCCGGGCAAGGCCUACCAAGCAUCUGUAGACCGCAUGACCAUUUUGAAACAUCAAGGCUUUACAAUCAGAGAGAGUUCAGAGACAGAUAUAUUGACUAUUUCCAGAACAAGAUCAACAGCCCUUUCCUGAAGAACAUUGUGGUGAACCUAGAGGAUCGAUUCCCAGACCUGCCACUCCUCCAGAAGUUGGAGGUGACUUGAACACCCGGAAAUUCCCUGGGGAGGAGCCAACCUGCCAUGGGAAAGAUGGCAUUUAACAUUGACCUGGCUGAGCACUUCCACCUUCCAGUAGACAAGACCCUAAGUGAGUGGAGGCAGGUGUGGAGCACUCUGAGUGACAGCUGACUUGCAGCAGAACAGGCCAUGGAGUGGGUGGACAACAUUUUCAUAACAGAGGGAUGAGAAGUUGACCUUGAGAGAGGACUAGAACUUCAAGAACUGCCCCGCCAGGAGAGUAUGGCAGGCCAAAGUUGAUUGAAAAGAUUAUGUCCAGACUUAUGGGUCAGUAGCAGCAUUAGUGACAACAUGGACUUGAAUCUUCCCAGGGAUGAGAGGCCAGGACUGAAAUGGGCUGCAGAGGCCAGAAGUAACAAUAUAGCCAACAUUGUUCGAGGUCUUGUUGCUACAAAGCUCGACUAUCCGAAGAAUAUGAAGAGCUAUACUACUCACCCUGGCAUCGGUAUGGUGCCGGCAUUGGCGUUGGCGUCACACCUUGGUUAAGGUUUUGCAUCCAAGCACACAUAGGUUAAUUUCUCAGCAACUACUUGAGAAACUUGCACAAAGUAAAACGCUUCAACUGACACCUGAGCAUUGGCAUAAUUAUGAUUAUUGAUUUUAAUUAUGAAGUUCAACCAGGUAAUUCAACAAUGUGACAAUACACCAAGUACUGGAAUGAAGCAGUAAAAUAUAAGGUAACAUGUGCACAAGUUGCAGGAUGCAACAAGAUCAGCUGUUCCCAUACUGAUGGCUAUGAAGAACCAGUUCCCCACUGAUGGAGAUAUAUUAUGAAAAUGUUUUUGGUGUUGGCCAGAUUUAGAUACACUGUGUUGUGUUUGGCCAGAAAUGCAGAGUGGUAACACCAGUCACCUAAGCCAAUAUUGCCCUCACAGACAAGAGUGUGAAGUAACAGCCCCUGCAGUUUACAGCAAAGCCCUCAACUGUAGCCCUACAAACUUCAUAUACUGCCGAUGGCGUAGAUGCAGUGAACUUUGCCAGAUUUCCAGCUAUGUUGAAUUGACAUCUCCAGCUGAACUAGAGCCAGGAUUGAUAUCAGACUGCUUGACAGCACGGACCUCUUUCUUGGGUGGAUGGAUUCAGAGAUGACCUACAGAUGCAGCCAUGACUGUGGCACAUGAAUGUUAUAGAUGGUGACUGUAAAGAAAUGAAGAUAGCAGAAAAAUGAAACUAUCUUAAUAUGGUUUUCUGGAAUUAAAUUAGCAGACAAAGUAUUCAUAUUUUUGUGGAAAAAUAAUGUCAUAGCUGAAAUAUGUUUUGCAAAUUCAAAAUGGUAAUGUUUUUCUCAUAUUUUAUGCUGGCAUCACAAAUAUUAUCAUUGGCUCUGUAUACGGUAAUCUCUCACUUCAAAACAUAACUAAUUGGACUAUUUGAAGAUUAAAUCUUCAUUAUUUUUAUUUAAUAUAAAAUGCUAUGCUGGUUUUACUGUCUUA
Molecule: long non-coding RNA, 1847 nt
Organism: Mya arenaria
Lineage: Eukaryota; Metazoa; Mollusca; Bivalvia; Myida; Myidae
Exons: 11
Source: RefSeq, a predicted model, not a curated record